AGCUGGGCCACUGUGGGCGCCACAAUGGGGUGGGUUCCCCGCCACAAUUCCUGGCCUUUCUUUCUGGCAUCCAAGGACUAGCGUCCCUCAGAGCUGAGAGGCUGAGUGAGGAACGUGGUAAGGACUUUUGAGCUCUCUCCGUGAGAUCUGGGACUUAGCACACCUAUGUGGUCCUGGCAAAAGGCUCCAGCUUUCCACAGCCAGGCUGUCCUUAGGAGCCACCACGUCCCCGGAGGCACGAAGGCCCACGACCGUCACUUCCUCCCCAAGUGAGUCUACAGAGGACCUAACACAGCCCUCCAAAGCCAAAGCAGCCUUCUCCUUAUCCACAGUGGAAUCAGCUGGGCCAGAAAACAGCUCCGCACAUCCGGCUGUUGGAGCCUGUCUGGGCUGGACACAGCUCUGGUCUUCCUCAUGAACGGUCUCCCCAUGGCUCUUCCUCUCCCUGGCCUGGCUGGGGCUCUAGUGACAGUUGCAGGAGGGAUGUUUUGGUCAAAGGGCACUAAGCAUCGUUUAUUAUCCCAGGAUUCCCCUGGGCAUUUACUGUGCCUGUCUUCCAUUGCUACCAGACUCAGAGAUGAGGGAAACAGACUCAAACAGCACGCGGUGUGGGGAGAACAGGGAGGAAGUCUGGAUGAAUCACGGUGCCCUAAAGCCUGGUUGAAGAGGCCCAGAGCAACAAGAGGGUAAAACCUAAGUGCCUUGAGCAGGCACCGGGUGAGACUCGGGAGCUGCCAAGGAGAGCUCAUGGCUCUUAAUGCUUUCUCUGUGCCAGACAUAAUGCCAAGGGCUUGGCAUGCUAGUCCUUAAGCAAACCUACGUGGCAGGUGUGAUUGCUGUCCCCAGAUUGCACAGAGUCUGAGGCUUAGAGGAGUUAAGCCACGCUGAUAAAUAAGACUCUGGGACUCAGAGCUAGGGUCUGAGUUCCAGGGCCCGAGCAGCUGAGAUGCCAACUCACGCCUUUCCCUCCCUUUGAUUCAGGGCCUGGUCUCUUGUGCCUGGUGAGUGACAGCAAGACAUUUAGUCAUCCGGGGUCUCCGUUUUCCUUUUUCUGUAAAAGGGGCUGAGCGUCCCUCAGGUUUAUGGAGAGUUUUGAAGGAACAAGGCAGAUACGUUGCUCAGCGAUGUCUGACCUGGAGCACACACUCCAGCCAAGUCACCCAUGAUGGUCUUCGUAAUCGCCAUGACCGGGCGCUCUGUCAGAGGCCACUCUCCGAAUGGUGCAUCCUCUGCAACUUUCCCCUCUCUGGCUCUGCUGCGUCUCCCCAGGGCUCCAACAACCCUGUCACUGAAAUCAGGUGGAGACCGAGUCCCAUUUUACUAAAACCAUGAGAAUAUGGUGAACAACAUGCUGAUGGUUUUAACUGCCUUAAAGGAUACAGCUCAGGGGCACUGAGAGCAGCCCUUAUGGUCGUCAUUGUCACCAAGACUUCCUUGUCUUCCCAGACCCCAACUUUGUCCCUUUUACACCAAGCACUGUCUCACCAGCCACCAGAUGCUGGCAACCUCUGUUGUCUGUCUCUACCUGUCUGACCCACCUUGGCACCUCAUGUCAGUGGAUCAUACAUCCAUUGAUCUUUCUGUGAUUGGUUUGUUUUCUGGAACAUGGUGUGCACAAGUGUUAAUGAAAUGGCACACAUCAGCAUGUACUCCAUUUUUGAGACUAUAUAAUAUUUCUUUUGUGGGUUUCAGUUAUUCAUAGAGAAACACUAGCCAUCUCCAUCCUUUUGAUAUAGUGAAAAUGAAUGCUAUGUAUUGACAUGAAUGUACAUGUGCUGUAUCUGUUGGAUUCUUUUGAUUCAUACAUAUAUAGCCACGAUGUACCACAAUGCCCAAACUGUGUAAUUGCUGGAUAAAAUGGCAAUUCUGUUUAAUGUAUAUAUAUAUAUAUGCAUAUGUGUGCA
This 1904-nucleotide long non-coding RNA is filed under the name Mus musculus (house mouse). RNAcentral's name for it is "predicted gene 4151 (Gm4151)". The record is from RNAcentral. Lineage: Eukaryota; Metazoa; Chordata; Mammalia; Rodentia; Muridae.